UACGUAGGGGGCUAGCGUUGUCCGGAAUCAUUGGGCGUAAAGAGCGUGUAGGCGGUCCGGUAAGUCCGUUGUGAAAGUCAGGGGCUCAACCCUUGAAUGCCGGCGGAUACUGUCGGGCUAGAGUCCGGAAGAGGCAAGUGGAAUUCCCGGUGUAGCGGUGAAAUGCGCAGAUAUCGGGAGGAACACCUAUGGCGAAAGCGGCGCACUGGACCACAACUGACGCUGAGGCGCGAAAGCUAGGGGAGCAAACAGG
RNAcentral lists this ribosomal RNA (253 nucleotides) under uncultured bacterium. Its description in RNAcentral is "partial 16S ribosomal RNA". It matches the Rfam family "Bacterial small subunit ribosomal RNA", at positions 524 to 776 of the family's 1533-position model. The record is from RNAcentral.